RNAcentral lists this ribosomal RNA (483 nucleotides) under uncultured bacterium. Its description in RNAcentral is "partial 16S ribosomal RNA". It matches the Rfam family "Bacterial small subunit ribosomal RNA", at positions 30 to 508 of the family's 1533-position model. The record is from RNAcentral.
AUUGAACGCUGGCGGCAUGCCUUACACAUGCAAGUCGAACGGUAACGGGCCUUCGGGUGCCGACGAGUGGCGAACGGGUGAGUAAUACAUCGGAACGUGCCCGAUCGUGGGGGAUAACGAGGCGAAAGCUUUGCUAAUACCGCAUACGAUCUACGGAUGAAAGCAGGGGACCGCAAGGCCUUGCGCGGACGGAGCGGCCGAUGGCCGAUUAGGUAGUUGGUGGGAUAAAAGCUUACCAAGCCGACGAUCUGUAGCUGGUCUGAGAGGAUGAUCAGCCACACUGGGACGGAGACACGGCCCAGACUCCUACGGGAGGCAGCAGUGGGGAAUUUUGGACAAUGGGCGCAAGCCUGAUCCAGCCAUGCCGCGUGCAGGAUGAAGGCCUUCGGGUUGUAAACUGCUUUUGUACGGAACGAAAAGCCUUCUUUUAAUACAGGAGGGUCAUGACGGUACCGUAAGAAUAAGCACCGGCUAACUACGUGC